Molecule: ribosomal RNA, 253 nt
Filed under: uncultured bacterium
Lineage: Bacteria
Description: partial 16S ribosomal RNA
Rfam family: Bacterial small subunit ribosomal RNA
Source: RNAcentral
UACGGAGGGGGCGAGCGUUAUUCGGAAUUAUUGGGCGUAAAGGGCGCGUAGGCGGCUUUUCAAGUGACGGGUGAAAUCCCUCGGCUUAACCGAGGAACUGCCUGUCAGACUGGAAGGCUUGAGACCGGGAGAGGUGAGUGGAAUUCCCAGUGUAGCGGUGAAAUGCGUAGAUAUUGGGAGGAACACCAGUGGCGAAGGCGGCUCACUGGACCGGAACUGACGCUGAGGCGCGAAAGCGUGGGGAGCAAACAGG